AUGAAAGAGACCUGCCGUGAAUCCGAACCACGCCUUCCCCCCGGGGCCGGGGCACUGGGCAGUGGGCUGCUCGGAGCCCCAGGGGCUCAGCUCCGAGCUCCUCCUGCCACCGGCAGCUUCAGCUCCCCGAUGUUUGCGGUUCAUUGUGUGUGCGGUGUGUGUGGGCUGGGAGGGGUGUCAGGGAGCAUCCCAUUAGCCCAAGCAAACCCACGCAGGCACGGGGAGAGAGGAGGACCGUGCACUCGGCCAACCUGUGUCAUGCGCCUGCCCACCUCGCAGGACCUCGGGGAGCCCACGGAAGCACCUGGACAGGCAGUGACAGCCAGGAGCACAGCCAGGGGCCAAGGAAAACCAGGUGCUGAGAGGGCCCUCCGCUUGGUCUUUGUCCUGGCCUCAGCGGCCACUCCGAGGAGUCAGGGGUCAGGGCACCCUAGGGUAGCGCUGGGUCCUGAGGGCCCAACUUCAGUCGGGUAUUCCAGCAACCCCCGCAGCACUGCCCACCCGCACCUGGAUUCUGACAGCCAGCGCCAGCAGGCCCAUAAACUUGACCCACUGUUGUCCAAAGCCCAAGGGUUCCUCCUCCGGGAGGCGGGGAGAGGGCGUGGCUUCGGGAGUGGGCGGGGCCUGGGCGCCCAGCUCGGGUAGGGCGGAUUUGCCACUCCUCCCUUCUGUCCUUCCUCCACUCCAGGGACUGCCAGCUCCCUUCGCUGUCCCUAAAUGGGCUCCCUCGUCUCCUUCCUUUGGGGUCUCGAGGCUGACCCCACCAUCCCCAGCUGCCUCGGCCCUUCUGCGCCCCCGCCCCCGCCCCCAGGCCGGCAAGUCCCCGGUGUCUCAUUCUUUCCAGCUCCCCAUCCAAGCACCCACCCGGGCCCUGCGCCAUUCCCCACAUUUUCCUCUCCCGUUCUCAUGAGCCCGACCCAAGUCUCUCUUUCGGAAAUCUGUCCCCUCUUGCCCUCACUUUCUCACGUAGAGACAAAGGCGCUCAGUCCCAGAAAUAGACGCGCCCAGAGAUGCGCGGCACGGCACAGGCCGCGUCCUGCCCCGCACGCGCGCGCGCGCGCUCAGGAGCGGCGGCGGCUCGCGUGGAGGGAGGCACACAGACCCGCGUCUGUGUGUGCACGCACACAAACAUCCACACCCAUGGCCGCCGCGCCGGGCCACAAAGGGGUGCUGACACGCGGCGGGCGCGCGAGACAAGGGCGCGCCGCCCUCCCUCCCGGGCACACCCACCGCGCCCCGGGGCCGGAGCAAGGCCUCCCCCGGGCCCGCUCGGCUCCCCCCGGAUUCCUCCCCGCGAAUGUUUCCCUACUUGGCCUGCCAGGUCUCUAGGGAAAGGGCCUCCGAAAUGCAUCGGGAGCCGCUUGGGGGAAGGAAGUUGGAACUGGCUGUUCCCUGCCUGGCCCUGCCGGCGAAUUCCCUAACCGAGAAACUAUUUGUGGCG
Molecule: long non-coding RNA, 1441 nt
Filed under: Chinchilla lanigera (long-tailed chinchilla)
Lineage: Eukaryota; Metazoa; Chordata; Mammalia; Rodentia; Chinchillidae
Description: lncRNA (ENSCLAG00000026892.1)
Source: RNAcentral